RNAcentral lists this ribosomal RNA (457 nucleotides) under uncultured bacterium. Its description in RNAcentral is "bacterial SSU rRNA". It matches the Rfam family "Bacterial small subunit ribosomal RNA", at positions 11 to 460 of the family's 1533-position model. The record is from RNAcentral.
GUUUGAUCCUGGCUCAGAGCGAACGUUAGCGGCGGGGCUUAACACAUGCAAGUCGAGCGAGAAAGGGGCUUCGGCCCUGAGUACAGCGGCGGACGGGUGAAUAACACGUAGGUAACCUUCCUUUCAGCGGGGGACAACGGUCCGAAAGGACCGCUAAUACCGCAUACGUUCCCUGGGACCUCGGUCCUGGGGAGGAAAGGCCCGCAAGGGCCACUGGAUGAGGGGCCUGCGUAGCAUCAGCUAGUUGGUGGGGUAAUGGCCUACCAAGGCGAAGACGCUUAGCUGGUCUGAGAGGAUGAUCAGCCACACUGGGACUGAGACACGGCCCAGACUCCUACGGGAGGCAGCAGUGGGGAAUAUUGGACAAUGGGCGCAAGCCUGAUCCAGCCACGUCCGCGUGAGUGAUGAAGGCCUCGGUCGGUAAGUACUCUGUUGGGGAGGGGACGGAACGGGACGG